GACGAACGCUGGCGGCAUGCCUAAUACAUGCAAGUCGAACGCUGAAGCACUCUGCUUGCAGAGUGCAGAUGAGUGGCGAACGGGUGAGUAACACGUGGGAAAUCUGCCUAGGAGUGGGGGAUAACAUUCGGAAACGGAUGCUAAUACCGCAUAUCUUUUUGAACCGCAUGGUUCUUAAACGAAAGACGGCUUCGGCUGUCGCUCUUAGAUGAUCCCGCGGCGUAUUAGUUAGUUGGUGGGGUAAAGGCCUACCAAGACCAUGAUACGUAGCCGACCUGAGAGGGUGAUCGGCCACACUGGGACUGAGACACGGCCCAGACUCCUACGGGAGGCAGCAGUAGGGAAUCUUCCACAAUGGGUGAAAACCUGAUGGAGCAAUGCCGCGUGAAUGAAGAAGGUCUUCGGAUCGUAAAGUUCUGUUAUUAGAGAAGAACAAGUCAAGGAGUAACUGUCUUGACUUUGACGGUACCUAACCAGAAAGUCAACGGCUAACU
RNAcentral lists this ribosomal RNA (494 nucleotides) under uncultured bacterium. RNAcentral's name for it is "bacterial SSU rRNA". It matches the Rfam family "Bacterial small subunit ribosomal RNA", at positions 28 to 502 of the family's 1533-position model. The record is from RNAcentral.